Molecule: ribosomal RNA, 219 nt
Filed under: uncultured bacterium
Lineage: Bacteria
Description: partial 16S ribosomal RNA
Rfam family: Bacterial small subunit ribosomal RNA
Source: RNAcentral
AAACGUCUCAGUUCGGAUUGUAGUCUGCAACUCGACACAUGAAGCUGGAAUCGCUAGUAAUCGCGGAUCAGAAUGCUGCGGUGAAUACGUUCCCGGGUCUUGUACACACCGCCCGUCACACCAUGGGAGUCGGAAAUGCCCGAAGCCGGUGACCCAACCAAAAGGAGGGAGCCGUCGAAGGCAGGUCUGAUAACUGGGGUGAAGUCGUAACAAGGUAUC